This 586-nucleotide ribosomal RNA is filed under the name uncultured bacterium. RNAcentral's name for it is "partial 16S ribosomal RNA". It matches the Rfam family "Bacterial small subunit ribosomal RNA", at positions 355 to 1375 of the family's 1533-position model. The record is from RNAcentral.
UGGGGAAUUUUGGACAAUGGGCGAAAGCCUGAUCCAGCAAUGCCGCGUGUGUGAAGAAGCACUUCGGGUUGUAAAGCACUUUUUGUCCGGAAAGAAAUCCUUGGCUCUAAUACAGUCGGGGGAUGACGGUACCGGAAGAAUAAGCACCGGCUAACUACGUGCCAGCAGCCGCGGUAAUACGUAGGGUGCAAGCGUUAAUCGGAAUUACUGGGCGUAAAGCGUGCGCAGGCGGUUUGCUAAGACCGAUGUGAAAUCCCCGGGCUCAACCUGGGAACUGCAUUGGUGACUGGCAGGCUAGAGUAUGGCAGAGGGGGGUAGAAUUCCACGUGUAGCAGUGAAAUGCGUAGAGAUGUGGAGGAAUACCGAUGGCGAAGGCAGCCCCCUGGGCCAAUACUGACGCUCAUGCACGAAAGCGUGGGGAACAAACAGGAUUAGAUACCCUGGUAGUCCACGCCCUAAACGAUGUCAACUAGUUGUUGGGGAUUCAUUUCCUUAGUAACGUAGCUAACGCGUGAAGUUGACCGCCUGGGGAGUACGGUCGCAAGAUUAAAACUUAAAUGAAUUGACGGGGUCAUAGCUGUUUCCU